RNAcentral lists this ribosomal RNA (764 nucleotides) under uncultured bacterium. RNAcentral describes it as "bacterial SSU rRNA". It matches the Rfam family "Bacterial small subunit ribosomal RNA", at positions 8 to 798 of the family's 1533-position model. The record is from RNAcentral.
AGAGUUUGAUCAUGGCUCAGGAUGAAUGCUGGCGGCGUGCCUAACACAUGCAAGUCGAGCGGCAGCGAGGGGUGCUUGCACCCUGUCGGCGAGCGGCGAACGGCUGAGUAACGCGUAGGAAUUUGCCCCAAAGUGAGGAAUAACUGCCCGAAAGGGUAGCUAAUGCCGCAUAUGGUCUUCGGAUUAAAGGAUUUAUCCGCUUUGGGAGAAGCCUGCGUUGGAUUAGGUAGUUGGUAGGGUAAUGGCCUACCAAGCCGACGAUCCAUAGCUGGUCUGAGAGGAUGAUCAGCCAGACUGGAACUGAGACACGGUCCAGACUCCUACGGGAGGCAGCAGUGAGGAAUCUUCCACAAUGGGCGAAAGCCUGAUGGAGCAACGCCGCGUGAAGGAUGAAGGCCUUCGGGUUGUAAACUUCUUUUAUGAGUGAAGAAUAUGACGGUAACUCAUGAAUAAGCACCGGCUAACUACGUGCCAGCAGCCGCGGUCAUACGUAGGGUGCGAGCAUUAUCCGGAGUGACUGGGCGUAAAGAGUUGCGUAGGCGGUUUAAUAAGUGAAUAGUGAAACCUGGUGGCUCAACCAUACAGACUGUUAUUCAAACUGUUAAACUCGAGAAUGGUAGAGGUAACUGGAAUUUCUUGUGUAGGAGUGAAAUCCGUAGAUAUAAGAAGGAACACCAAUGGCGUAGGCAGGUUACUGGGCCAUUUCUGACGCUAAGGCACGAAAGCGUGGGGAGCGAACCGGAUUAGAUACCCCGGUAGUCCAA